RNAcentral lists this small nucleolar RNA (93 nucleotides) under Theobroma cacao (cacao). RNAcentral's name for it is "Small nucleolar RNA snoR8a". It matches the Rfam family "Small nucleolar RNA snoR8a". The record is from Rfam by way of RNAcentral. Lineage: Eukaryota; Viridiplantae; Streptophyta; Magnoliopsida; Malvales; Malvaceae.
GAGUUGGCAAUAAUUAUAAAAAUAAUUUCUCGUUAUAACUUGCUUAAUUUGGACAUGACAAACCUUUAAUUACAACCAUUAAAUCUGAGCUCC